Non-coding RNA from Ceratotherium simum simum (southern white rhinoceros), 95 nucleotides. The record is from RefSeq and is a predicted model, not a curated record. NCBI's taxonomy places the organism in Eukaryota, Metazoa, Chordata, Mammalia, Perissodactyla, Rhinocerotidae.
AAACAGCUCGCUAAAUUGGUGUUAGACUGGGAUUUGGUCAGAGCCAGGUGGAACCAGGCUCACAAAUCUUCAGGAACCAACUCUCAGGGGCUUCC